GCGGGGGUUGCCGAGUGGUCAAAGGCGCUAGAUUCAGGGUCUAGUCGAUAAGUUCGUUCGAGGGUUCAAGUCCCUUCCCCCGCA
This 84-nucleotide transfer RNA is filed under the name archaeon. RNAcentral's name for it is "tRNA-Ser". It matches the Rfam family "tRNA". Rfam says of the family: Transfer RNA (tRNA) molecules are approximately 80 nucleotides in length. Their secondary structure includes four short double-helical elements and three loops (D, anti-codon, and T loops). RNAcentral also lists the same sequence under 3 other names. The record is from RNAcentral.